This 252-nucleotide ribosomal RNA is filed under the name uncultured bacterium. Its description in RNAcentral is "partial 16S ribosomal RNA". It matches the Rfam family "Bacterial small subunit ribosomal RNA", at positions 524 to 776 of the family's 1533-position model. The record is from RNAcentral.
UACGUAGGUCCCGAGCGUUGUCCGGAUUUAUUGGGCGUAAAGCGAGCGCAGGUGGUUUAUUAAGUCUGGUGUAAAAGGCAGUGGCUCAACCAUUGUAUGCAUUGGAAACUGGUUGACUUGAGUGCAGGAGAGGAGAGUGGAAUUCCAUGUGUAGCGGUGAAAUGCGUAGAUAUAUGGAAGAACACCAGUGGCGAAAGCGGCUCUCUGGUCUGUAACUGACGCUGAGGUUCGAAAGCGUGGGUAGCAAACAGG